UACGUAGGGUGCGAGCGUUGUCCGGAAUUAUUGGGCGUAAAGAGCUCGUAGGCGGCUUGUCGCGUCGGAUGUGAAAGCCCGGGGCUUAACUCCGGGUCUGCAUUCGAUACGGGCAGGCUAGAGUUCGGUAGGGGAGAUCGGAAUUCCUGGUGUAGCGGUGAAAUGCGCAGAUAUCAGGAGGAACACCGGUGGCGAAGGCGGGUCUCUGGGCCGUAACUGACGCUGAGGAGCGAAAGCGUGGGGAGCGAACAGG
RNAcentral lists this ribosomal RNA (253 nucleotides) under uncultured bacterium. RNAcentral's name for it is "partial 16S ribosomal RNA". It matches the Rfam family "Bacterial small subunit ribosomal RNA", at positions 524 to 776 of the family's 1533-position model. The record is from RNAcentral.